RNAcentral lists this ribosomal RNA (253 nucleotides) under uncultured bacterium. RNAcentral's name for it is "partial 16S ribosomal RNA". It matches the Rfam family "Bacterial small subunit ribosomal RNA", at positions 524 to 776 of the family's 1533-position model. The record is from RNAcentral.
UACGUAGGGUCCGAGCGUUGUCCGGAAUUACUGGGCGUAAAGAGCUCGUAGGUGGUUUGUCGCGUUGUUCGUGAAAACUCACAGCUUAACUGUGGGCGUGCGGGCGAUACGGGCAGACUUGAGUACUGCAGGGGAGACUGGAAUUCCUGGUGUAGCGGUGGAAUGCGCAGAUAUCAGGAGGAACACCGGUGGCGAAGGCGCCACUCUGGGCCGGUACUGACGCUGAGGAGCGAAAGCGUGGGGAGCGAACAGG